This 438-nucleotide ribosomal RNA is filed under the name Triticum aestivum (bread wheat). RNAcentral's name for it is "partial small subunit ribosomal RNA". Lineage: Eukaryota; Viridiplantae; Streptophyta; Magnoliopsida; Poales; Poaceae. The record is from RNAcentral.
AUGAAGCGACUGUGGAGCUAUCUCCCCUCUUCUCUUAGCAGUUCCAGGAGCGACCCUCCGCAGCAGAUUCCUGAUCCCACCGGUGAUCCUCCAGCCGCUAAAGCCGGGGACACUCCCGCCCUUCUUCAGGAGCCUCCACCGGCUCUUCAAGAUCCUUUGCCGGAGAAUCAUUCUCCCAAUGGCGAGAUUUACGGCAACCAGAUGCUUACCAGCUCCAAGAGCUACCCUUCGCACAAGAUUCAUGAUCCUCCCCGUAAAUUAAUGGCGUCUGUGCGCUCCCGACUGGUGCAACUCUUGCCGCCGCAGCUAGGGAAGGGAAGCGACUGUGGAGCUGUCUUGCCUUCCUUAGCUACAGGAGCAACCCUGGAGCAGCUGAUUUAUGAACCCGGGCAUCCUUCGCAAAGACGGAAGUCUUUGCAAAAAUCGCACAGCCUGUAA